UUGGCCCUGAAUCAAGGCCUACAGUUUGUUGGAACUGUUGGUUUCAAACAGGAGCCUAAAAAAUGUCAUCCUAAGGUUUUCUGGCCAUUUCAGAAUGUUAUGGGAAAUGGUCAAUCCAUUAGGAAGAAACACUU
Small nucleolar RNA from Monodelphis domestica (gray short-tailed opossum), 134 nucleotides. NCBI's taxonomy places the organism in Eukaryota, Metazoa, Chordata, Mammalia, Didelphimorphia, Didelphidae. The record is from Ensembl.